GAUGAACGCUGGCGGCGUGCCUAAUACAUGCAAGUCGAGCGAACGGACGAGAAGCUUGCUUCUCUGAUGUUAGCGGCGGACGGGUGAGUAACACGUGGAUAACCUACCUAUAAGACUGGGAUAACUUCGGGAAACCGGAGCUAAUACCGGAUAAUAUUUUGAACCGCAUGGUUCAAAAGUGAAAGACGGUCUUGCUGUCACUUAUAGAUGGAUCCGCGCUGCAUUAGCUAGUUGGUAAGGUAACGGCUUACCAAGGCAACGAUGCAUAGCCGACCUGAGAGGGUGAUCGGCCACACUGGAACUGAGACACGGUCCAGACUCCUACGGGAGGCAGCAGUAGGGAAUCUUCCGCAAUGGGCGAAAGCCUGACGGAGCAACGCCGCGUGAGUGAUGAAGGUCUUCGGAUCGUAAAACUCUGUUAUUAGGGAAGAACAUAUGUGUAAGUAGCUGUGCACAUCUUGACGGUACCUAAUCAGAAAGCCACGGCUAACUACGUG
RNAcentral lists this ribosomal RNA (497 nucleotides) under uncultured bacterium. Its description in RNAcentral is "partial 16S ribosomal RNA". It matches the Rfam family "Bacterial small subunit ribosomal RNA", at positions 28 to 507 of the family's 1533-position model. The record is from RNAcentral.